GAUGAAUGCACACAUCACAGAGAAGUUCCUCAGAAUGCUUCUAUCUAGUUUUUAUGUGAAGGUAUUUCCUUUUCCACCAUAGGCAUCAAAGUGCUCCAAAUCUCCACUUGCAGAUUCUACAAAAAGAGAGUUUCAAAACUACUCAAUCAAAAGAAAGUUUAAACUCUGUGAGAUGAAUGUGCACAUCACAAAGAAGUUUCUCAGAUUGCUUCUGUCUAGAUUUUAUGUGAAGAUAUUUCCUUUUCUGCCAUAGGCCGCAAAGUGCUCCAAAUGUCCCCUUCCAGAUUCUACAAACAGAAUGAUUCCAAACUGCUCAAUCAAAAGAAAUGUUCAACUCUGUGAGUUGAAUGCACACAUCACAAAGUAGUUUCUCAGAAUGCUUCUGCAUAG
Molecule: long non-coding RNA, 390 nt
Filed under: Homo sapiens (human)
Lineage: Eukaryota; Metazoa; Chordata; Mammalia; Primates; Hominidae
Description: HSALNT0341048
Source: RNAcentral